GUCCAGCUGACGAGUCUUGAAUAGGACAAAACGCAAGUCCUGGAU
This 45-nucleotide non-coding RNA is filed under the name Schistosoma mansoni. Lineage: Eukaryota; Metazoa; Platyhelminthes; Trematoda; Strigeidida; Schistosomatidae. The record is from RNAcentral.